RNAcentral lists this ribosomal RNA (990 nucleotides) under Lophodermium herbarum. RNAcentral describes it as "SSU rRNA". It matches the Rfam family "Eukaryotic small subunit ribosomal RNA", at positions 67 to 1061 of the family's 1831-position model. Lineage: Eukaryota; Fungi; Ascomycota; Leotiomycetes; Rhytismatales; Rhytismataceae. The record is from RNAcentral.
AACAUAUUUUCUACACGUGGAAACUCGUCGGCAAUGGCUCAUUAAAUCAGUUAUCGUUUAUUUGAUGGUACCUUACUACCUGGAUAACCGUGGUAAUUCUAGAGCUAAUACCUGCUUAAAAGCCCCAAUUCUUGGAGGGGGUGUUUUUUUUAUAAAAAAACGCUGUGCUUCGGGACUCCUUGGUGAUUCAUAAUAACUUAACGAAUCGCAUGGCCUUGCGCCGGCGAUGGUUCAUUCAAAUUUCUGCCCUAUCAACUUUCGAUGGUAGGAUAUAGGCCUACCAUGGUUUCUGCGGGUAACGGGAAAUUAGGGAUCGAUUCCGGAGAGGGAGCCUGAGAAACGGCUACCACAUCCAAGGAAGGCAGCAGGCGCGCAAAUUACCCAAUCCCGACACGGGGAGGUAGUGACAAUAAAUACUGAUACAGGGCUCUUCUGCCUCUUGUAAUUGGAAUGAGUACAAUUUAAAUCUCUUACCGAGGAACAAUUGCAGGGCAAGUCUGGUGCCAGCAGCCGCGGUAAUUCCAGCUCCAAUACCGUAUAUUAAAGUUGUUGCAGUUAAAAAGCUCGUAGUUGAACCUUGGGCCUGGCUGGCCGGUCCGCCUCCCCGCAUGCACUGGUCCGGCCGGGUCUUUCCUUCUGGGUAGCCGCAUGCCCUUCACUGGGUGUGGAGGGGAACCAGGACUUUUACUUUGAAAAAAUUAAAGUGUUCAAAGCAGGCCUAUGCUCGAAUACAUUAGCAUGGAAUAAUAGAAUAGGACGUGUGGAUCUAUUUUGUUGGUUUCUAGGACCGCCGUAAUGAUUAAUAGGGAUAGUCGGAGGUGUCAGUAUUCCGUUGUCAGAGGUGAAAUUCUUGGAUCUACGGAUAACUAACUACUGCGAAAGCAUUAACCAAGGAUGUUUUCAUUAUUCAGUGAACGAAAGUUAGGGGAUCGAGACGAUCAAAUACCGUCGUAGUCUUAACCUAAACAUGGCCACUAGGGAUCGGGGAGG